RNAcentral lists this ribosomal RNA (801 nucleotides) under uncultured bacterium. RNAcentral describes it as "bacterial SSU rRNA". It matches the Rfam family "Bacterial small subunit ribosomal RNA", at positions 8 to 810 of the family's 1533-position model. The record is from RNAcentral.
AGAGUUUGAUCCUGGCUCAGGAUGAACGCUGGCGGCGUGCCUAACACAUGCAAGUCGAACGGAGUUAUUAGACGGAAGUUUUCGGAUGGAAGAUUAAUAACUUAGUGGCGGACGGGUGAGUAACGCGUGGGUAACCUGCCUUACACAGGGGGAUAACACUUAGAAAUAGGCGCUAAUACCGCAUAAGCACACAUCUUCGCAUGAAGAAGUGUGAAAAAAUUUAUUGGUGUAAGAUGGACCCGCGUUUGAUUAGAUAGUUGGUGAGGUAAUGGCUCACCAAGUCGACGAUCAGUAGCCGGCCUGAGAGGGUGACCGGCCACAUUGGGACUGAGACACGGCCCAAACUCCUACGGGAGGCAGCAGUGGGGAAUAUUGCACAAUGGGGGAAACCCUGAUGCAGCGACGCCGCGUGAGUGAAGAAGUAUUUCGGUAUGUAAGGCUCUAUCAGCAGGGAAGAAAAUGACGGUACCUGACUAAGAAGCCCCGGCUAACUACGUGCCAGCAGCCGCGGUAAUACGUAGGGGGCAAGCGUUAUCCGGAUUUACUGGGUGUAAAGGGAGCGUAGACGGCAUGGCAAGUCUGGAGUGAAAACCCGGGGCUCAACCCCGGGACUGCUUUGGAAACUGUUAAGCUAGAGUGCAGGAGAGGUAAGUGGAAUUCCUAGUGUAGCGGUGAAAUGCGUAGAUAUUAGGAGGAACACCAGUGGCGAAGGCGACUUACUGGACUGUAACUGACGUUGAGGCUCGAAAGCGUGGGGAGCAAACAGGAUAAGAUACCCUGGUAGUCCACGCCGUAAACGAU